UACGUAGGGUGCGAGCGUUGUCCGGAAUUAUUGGGCGUAAAGAGCUCGUAGGCGGUGUGUCACGUCGGCCGUGAAAACCUGCAGCUUAACUGUGGGCGUGCGGUCGAUACGGGCAUCACUGGAGUUCGGCAGGGGAGACUGGAAUUCCUGGUGUAGCGGUGAAAUGCGCAGAUAUCAGGAGGAACACCGGUGACGAAGGCGGGUCUCUGGGCCGUAACUGACGCUGAGGAGCGAAAGCGUGGGGAGCGAACAGG
RNAcentral lists this ribosomal RNA (254 nucleotides) under uncultured bacterium. Its description in RNAcentral is "partial 16S ribosomal RNA". It matches the Rfam family "Bacterial small subunit ribosomal RNA", at positions 524 to 776 of the family's 1533-position model. The record is from RNAcentral.